RNAcentral lists this ribosomal RNA (506 nucleotides) under uncultured bacterium. Its description in RNAcentral is "partial 16S ribosomal RNA". It matches the Rfam family "Bacterial small subunit ribosomal RNA", at positions 30 to 523 of the family's 1533-position model. The record is from RNAcentral.
AUUGAACGCUGGCGGCAGGCCUAACACAUGCAAGUCGAGCGGCAGCGGAAAGUAGCUUGCUACUUUGCCGGCGAGCGGCGGACGGGUGAGUAAUGUCUGGGAAACUGCCUGAUGGAGGGGGAUAACUACUGGAAACGGUAGCUAAUACCGCAUAACGUCGCAAGAACAAAGAGGGGGACCUUCUGGCCUCUUGCCAGCAGAUGUGCCCAGAUGGGAUUAGCUAGUAGGUGGGGUAACGGCUCACCUAGGCGACGAUCCCUAGCUGGUCUGAGAGGAUGACCAGCCACACUGGAACUGAGACACGGUCCAGACUCCUACGGGAGGCAGCAGUGGGGAAUAUUGCACAAUGGGCGCAAGCCUGAUGCAGCCAUGCCGCGUGUAUGAAGAAGGCCUUCGGGUUGUAAAGUACUUUCAGCGGGGAGGAAGGUGUUGAGGUUAAUAACCUCAGCAAUUGACGUUACCCGCAGAAGAAGCACCGGCUAACUCCGUGCCAGCAGCCGCCGUAA